UUGAAAACAGCUUAGGAGAGAAAUUUGGAGUUCAAGGUUAUCCAACAUUGAAGUUUUUCUCAAGUGGUCAACCCAGUGAAUACCAAGGUGGCAGAUCGGCCUCCGACAUUGUUAACUGGUUGAAAAAGAAGACUGGUCCACCGUAUACUUGAUGAUGUUGCUGCUGCUAAGAAAUUUGCUGAAUCUAUUGAUGUUGUUAUUGGAUUCUUCAAGGUGACCGACAAUAACACCAACACGGCCCCAGCAAAAUAAGAAAUACAAACACAUGAGUACAGACAGUAGCUUUGUAUUCAGCUAAAUGCCAAUUAUCUGCUGACUUACCUUUGCUGCAUUGUUUAUGGCCAUCAAAUUUUAAUGCCUGAAAUAAGUAAGCUAUGU
Long non-coding RNA from Mizuhopecten yessoensis (Yesso scallop), 378 nucleotides. RefSeq lists it as uncharacterized. Lineage: Eukaryota; Metazoa; Mollusca; Bivalvia; Pectinida; Pectinidae. The transcript is spliced from 3 exons. The record is from RefSeq and is a predicted model, not a curated record.